UUAUUUGAGAGUUUGAUCCUGGCUCAGGAUGAACGCUGGCGGCGUGCCUAACACAUGCAAGUUGAGCGAUUUACUUCGGUAAAGAGCGGCGGACGGGUGAGUAACGCGUGGGUAACCUACCCUGUACACACGGAUAACAUACCGAAAGGUAUGCUAAUACGGGAUAAUAUAUUUGAGAGGCAUCUCUUGAAUAUCAAAGGUGAGCCAGUACAGGAUGGACCCGCGUCUGAUUAG
This 234-nucleotide ribosomal RNA is filed under the name Clostridioides difficile. Its description in RNAcentral is "partial 16S ribosomal RNA". It matches the Rfam family "Bacterial small subunit ribosomal RNA", at positions 1 to 244 of the family's 1533-position model. The record is from RNAcentral. Lineage: Bacteria; Bacillati; Bacillota; Clostridia; Peptostreptococcales; Peptostreptococcaceae.